This 515-nucleotide ribosomal RNA is filed under the name uncultured bacterium. RNAcentral describes it as "partial 16S ribosomal RNA". It matches the Rfam family "Bacterial small subunit ribosomal RNA", at positions 28 to 523 of the family's 1533-position model. The record is from RNAcentral.
GAUGAACGCUGGCGGCGUGCCUAAUACAUGCAAGUCGAGCGAAUGGAUUAAGAGCUUGCUCUUAUGAAGUUAGCGGCGGACGGGUGAGUAACACGUGGGUAACCUGCCCAUAAGACUAGGAUAACUCCGGGAAACCGGGGCUAAUACCGGAUAACAUUUUGAACCGCAUGGUUCGAGAUUGAAAGGCGGCUUCGGCUGUCACUUAUGGAUGGACCCGCGUCGCAUUAGCUAGUGGGUGAGGUAACGGCUCACCAAGGCAACGAUGCGUAGCCGACCUGAGAGGGUGAUCGGCCACACUGGGACUGAGACACGGCCCAGACUCCUACGGGAGGCAGCAGUAGGGAAUCUUCCGCAAUGGACGAAAGUCUGACGGAGCAACGCCGCGUGAGUGAUGAAGGCUUUCGGGUCGUAAAACUCUGUUGUUAGGGAAGAACAAGUGCUAGUUGAAUAAGCUGGCACCUUGACGGUACCUAACCAGAAAGCCACGGCUAACUACGUGCCAGCCGCCGCGGUAA